Non-coding RNA from Xylaria bambusicola, 103 nucleotides. NCBI's taxonomy places the organism in Eukaryota, Fungi, Ascomycota, Sordariomycetes, Xylariales, Xylariaceae. The record is from the annotation of a RefSeq genome assembly.
GCUCGUUUGACGCAGUGGUAGCGUGCCGUUCUUAUACUUCUUCGAAAGCGAAGUCUGUAUGACAGAAAUGCGGAAGCCGUGAGUUCGACCCUCACAACGAGCA